Molecule: ribosomal RNA, 254 nt
Filed under: uncultured bacterium
Lineage: Bacteria
Description: partial 16S ribosomal RNA
Rfam family: Bacterial small subunit ribosomal RNA
Source: RNAcentral
UACGGAGGGUGCGAGCGUUGUCCGGAAUCACUGGGCGUAAAGGGCGCGUAGGUGGCCCGUGGAAGUCUGCGGUGAAAGCCCGGCGCUCAACGCCGGGUCGGCCGUGGAUACUCUCGGGCUUGAGCUUACUAGAGGCAGAUGGAAUUCCGGGUGUAGCGGUGGAAUGCGUAGAGAUCCGGAAGAACACCGGUGGCGAGGGCGGUCUGCUGGGGUAAUGCUGACACUGAUGCGCGACAGCGUGGGGAGCAAACAGG